GACGAACGCUGGCGGCGUGCUUAACACAUGCAAGUCGAGCGGUAAGGCCUCUUCGGGGGUACCCGAGCGGCGAACGGGUGAGUAACACGUGGGUGACCUUCCCUCAGCUCUGUUUUAAGCCUGGGAAACUGGGUCUAAUUACGGAUAUGCCCUUUCCUCGCUUCGGGUUUGGUGGAAAGUUUUUUCGGCCUUGGAUGGGGCGGUGAACCGUCAGCAUGUUGGUUGGGUGGUGGCCUACCGAGGCGACGACGCGUAGCCGGGGUGAGAGGACGACGGGCCACACUGGGACGGAGGCACGGCCCAGACACCUUCGGGAGGGAGCGGUGGGGAAAAUUAGGCAAAGGGCGGAAGCCUGACGGGGCGACGCGGCGUGGAGGAUGUCGGCCGUGGAGUAGUAGCACUAUUUCGACCCCGAGGAAUUUGGACGGUAGGGGUAGAAGAAGCACCGGCCAACUACGUG
This 460-nucleotide ribosomal RNA is filed under the name uncultured bacterium. Its description in RNAcentral is "partial 16S ribosomal RNA". It matches the Rfam family "Bacterial small subunit ribosomal RNA", at positions 28 to 507 of the family's 1533-position model. The record is from RNAcentral.